GGGACACGUGGUAUCCUGUCUGAAUAUGGGGGGACCAUCCUCCAAGGCUAAAUACUCCUGACUGACCGAUAGUGAACCAGUACCGUGAGGGAAAGGCGAAAAGAACCCCGGCGAGGGGAGUGAAAAAGAACCUGAAACCGUGUACGUACAAGCAGUGGGAGCACGCUUAGGCGUGUGACUGCGUACCUUUUGUAUAAUGGGUCAGCGACUUAUAUUCUGUAGCAAGGUUAACCGAAUAGGGGAGCCGAAGGGAAACCGAGUCUUAACUGGGCGUUAAGUUGCAGGGUAUAGACCCGAAACCCGGUGAUCUAGCCAUGGGCAGGUUGAAGGUUGGGUAACACUAACUGGAGGACCGAACCGACUAAUGUUGAAAAAUUAGCGGAUGACUUGUGGCUGGGGGUGAAAGGCCAAUCAAACCGGGAGAUAGCUGGUUCUCCCCGAAAGCUAUUUAGGUAGCGCCUCGUGAAUUCAUCUCCGGGGGUAGAGCACUGUUUCGGCAAGGGGGUCAUCCCGACUUACCAACCCGAUGCAAACUGCGAAUACCGGAGAAUGUUAUCACGGGAGACACACGGCGGGUGCUAACGUCCGUCGUGAAGAGGGAAACAACCCAGACCGCCAGCUAAGGUCCCAAAGUCAUGGUUAAGUGGGAAACGAUGUGGGAAGGCCCAGACAGCCAGGAUGUUGGCUUAGAAGCAGCCAUCAUUUAAAGAAAGCGUAAUAGCUCACUGGUCGAGUCGGCCUGCGCGGAAGAUGUAACGGGGCUAAACCAUGCACCGAAGCUGCGGCAGCGACGCUUAUGCGUUGUUGGGUAGGGGAGCGUUCUGUAAGCCUGUGAAGGUGUGCUGUGAGGCAUGCUGGAGGUAUCAGAAGUGCGAAUGCUGACAUAAGUAACGAUAAAGCGGGUGAAAAGCCCGCUCGCCGGAAGACCAAGGGUUCCUGUCCAACGUUAAUCGGGGCAGGGUGAGUCGACCCCUAAGGCGAGGCCGAAAGGCGUAGUCGAUGGGAAACAGGUUAAUAUUCCUGUACUUGGUGUUACUGCGAAGGGGGGACGGAGAAGGCUAUGUUGGCCGGGCGACGGUUGUCCCGGUUUAAGCGUGUAGGCUGGUUUUC
This 1110-nucleotide ribosomal RNA is filed under the name Escherichia coli. RNAcentral describes it as "partial 23S ribosomal RNA". It matches the Rfam family "Bacterial large subunit ribosomal RNA", at positions 419 to 1533 of the family's 2925-position model. Lineage: Bacteria; Pseudomonadati; Pseudomonadota; Gammaproteobacteria; Enterobacterales; Enterobacteriaceae. The record is from RNAcentral.